GGAAACAGGUUAAUAUUCCUGUACUUGGUGUUACUGCGAAGGGGGGACGGAGAAGGCUAUGUUAGCCGGGCGACGGUUGUCCCGGUUUAAGCAUGUAGGCUGAUUGUCCAGGCAAAUCCGGAUAAUCAAGGCUGAGGUGUGAUGACGAGGCACUACGGUGCUGAAGUAACAAAUGCCCUGCUUCCAGGAAAAGCCUCUAAGCAUCAGGUAACAUUAAAUCGUACCCCAAACCGACACAGGUGGUCAGGUAGAGAAUACCAAGGCGCUUGAGAGAACUCGGGUGAAGGAACUAGGCAAAAUGGUGCCGUAACUUCGGGAGAAGGCACGCUGGUGUGUAGGUGAAGUCCCUGCGGAUGGAGCUGAGACCAGUCGAAGAUACCAGCUGGCUGCAACUGUUUAUUAAAAACACAGCACUGUGCAAACACGAAAGUGGACGUAUACGGUGUGACGCCUGCCCGGUGCCGGAAGGUUAAUUGAUGGGGUUAUCCGUAAGGAGAAGCUCUUGAUCGAAGCCCCGGUAAACGGCGGCCGUAACUAUAACGGUCCUAAGGUAGCGAAAUUCCUUGUCGGGUAAGUUCCGACCUGCACGAAUGGCGUAAUGAUGGCCAGGCUGUCUCCACCCGAGACUCAGUGAAAUUGAACUCGCUGUGAAGAUGCAGUGUACCCGCGGCAAGACGGAAAGACCCCGUGAACCUUUACUAUAGCUUGACACUGAACAUUGAGCCUUGAUGUGUAGGAUAGGUGGGAGGCUUUGAAGCGUGGACGCCAGUCUGCGUGGAGCCAACCUUGAAAUACCACCCUUUAAUGUUUGAUGUUCUAACGUUGGCCCCUUACCGGGGUUGCGGACAGUGUCUGGUGGGUAGUUUGACUGGGGCGGUCUCCUCCCAAAGCGUAACGGAGGAGCACGAAGGUUAGCUAAUCCUGGUCGGACAUCAGGAGGUUAGUGCAAUGGCAUAAGCUAGCUUGACUGCGAGCGUGACGGCGCGAGCAGGUGCGAAAGCAGGUCAUAGUGAUCCGGUGGUUCUGAAUGGAAGGGCCAUCGCUCAACGGAUAAAAGGUACUCCGGGGAUAACAGGCUGAUACCGCCCAAGAGUUCAUAUCGACGGCGGUGUUUGGCACCUCGAUGUCGGCUCAUCACAUCCUGGGGCUGAAGUAGGUCCCAAGGGUAUGGCUGUUCGCCAUUUAAAGUGGUACGCGAGCUGGGUUUAGAACGUCGUGAGACAGUUCGGUCCCUAUCUGCCGUGGGCGCUGGAGAAUUGAGGGGGGCUGCUCCUAGUACGAGAGGACCGGAGUGGACGCAUCACUGGUGUUCGGGUUGUCAUGCCAAUGGCACUGCCCGGUAGCUAAAUGCGGAAGAGAUAAGUGCUGAAAGCAUCUAAGCACGAAACUUGCCCCGAGAUGAGUUCUCCCUGAGACUUUAAGUCUCCUGAAGGAACGUUAAAGACGAUGACGUUGAUAGGCCGGGUGUGUAAGCGCAGCGAUGCGUUGAGCUAACCGGUACUAAUGAACCGUGAGGCUUAACCUU
RNAcentral lists this ribosomal RNA (1525 nucleotides) under Klebsiella pneumoniae UCI 20. Its description in RNAcentral is "bacterial LSU rRNA". It matches the Rfam family "Bacterial large subunit ribosomal RNA", at positions 1421 to 2925 of the family's 2925-position model. Lineage: Bacteria; Pseudomonadati; Pseudomonadota; Gammaproteobacteria; Enterobacterales; Enterobacteriaceae. The record is from RNAcentral.